GGAAGGUUUAAUUUUGGCCUGUUAUUUUGCUAAGGGCUUUGUGUGUAUGCGGUUUGGUUUAAAAAGGCUUUAGGCAAUGUGUGAAAGUUGAUAGUUUGAUUUGUUGAGAAUAUGUAAAGUGUGGUUAAGACAGGGGGUAAAAGGUGUGCCAGCUACCGCGGUUAUACAUUUUUCCUGGAGUGAAGUGUUUGAGAGUUUGCGUGGGGAGGUUUUGAGUUGGUAAUGACGGAAUUAUUGGAGGUUAGGUGAAAUUAGCUUUGUGGUGGAGUCUUAUUUUAAGAUAAUGUGAGGAAAAUUUUUGGUAGAGACUAGGAUUAGAUACCCUAUUAUUGAAAAUGUAUGUUUAGGUAGUAUAAGAUAAGCUAGAAACCUAAAAUUUUUGGCGGUUUGUUAGGCUAGUUAGAGGAAUCUGCCCCUUUAUGGAUGGUCCUCCUUAGGUUUUACUUUUUCUGUUGAAGUUUAAAUACCGCCGUUGGAAAAUGGACUUUGUAAGGGUUUGUUGCAAUAGUUUUAUUGUUGAGAUAACAGGUCAAGGUUUAGUUUAUGGAAAAGGUGGUGUGGUGGGUUACAUUGAGUUUUGUUAGAUGGAUUUAAAUGUGAAAGUGUUUUUUGAAAGUGGAUUUAAAAGUAAAUAGUUUAGGAUAGUGGGGUGUUGAUUGUGGCUCUGACAAAUGUACAUAUCGCCCGUCACUCUUGUUGGUGAAUCAAGAUAAGUCGUAACAAAGUAGGUGUAUUGGAAAAUGUAUCUG
This 749-nucleotide non-coding RNA is filed under the name Charinus carajas. The record is from RNAcentral. Lineage: Eukaryota; Metazoa; Arthropoda; Arachnida; Amblypygi; Charinidae.